This 71-nucleotide transfer RNA is filed under the name Meristogenys dyscritus. Its description in RNAcentral is "tRNA-Ile". It matches the Rfam family "tRNA". Rfam says of the family: Transfer RNA (tRNA) molecules are approximately 80 nucleotides in length. Their secondary structure includes four short double-helical elements and three loops (D, anti-codon, and T loops). Further hydrogen bonds mediate the characteristic L-shaped molecular structure. tRNAs have two regions of fundamental functional importance: the anti-codon, which is responsible for specific mRNA codon recognition, and the 3' end, to which the tRNAs corresponding amino acid is attached (by aminoacyl-tRNA synthetases). tRNAs cope with the degeneracy of the genetic code in two manners: having more than one tRNA (with a specific anti-codon) for a particular amino acid; and 'wobble' base-pairing, i.e. permitting non-standard base-pairing at the 3rd anti-codon position. Lineage: Eukaryota; Metazoa; Chordata; Amphibia; Anura; Ranidae. RNAcentral also lists the same sequence under 2 other names. The record is from RNAcentral.
GGAAACGUGCCUGAAAGUUAAGGGCCUCCUUGAUAGGGAGGCUAAUAGGGGUUCAAACCCCCUCGCUUCCU